GAUGAACGCUGGCGGCGUGCCUAACACAUGCAAGUCGAGCGCGAUUAAGUGUAGUGGAGACUUCGGUCAAAGUGAAGCUUAUGAAAGCGGCGGACGGGUGAGUAACGCGUGGGUAACCUGCCCCAUACAAAGGGAUAGCCACUGGAAACGGUGAUUAAUACCUUAUAAGUCGGUAGUCUCGCAUGAGACAGCCGACAAAGAUUUAUCGGUAUGGGAUGGACCCGCGUCUGAUUAGCUAGUUGGUGAGGUAACGGCUCACCAAGGCGACGAUCAGUAGCCGACCUGAGAGGGUGAUCGGCCACACUGGAACUGAGACACGGUCCAGACUCCUACGGGAGGCAGCAGUGGGGAAUAUUGCACAAUGGGCGCAAGCCUGAUGCAGCAACGCCGCGUGAGUGAUGAAGGCUUUCGGGUCGUAAAACUCUGUCCUAUGGGAAGAAAAAAAUACGACGGUACCAUAGGAGGAAGCCCCGGCUAAUACGUGCCAGCAGCC
This 493-nucleotide ribosomal RNA is filed under the name uncultured bacterium. RNAcentral describes it as "bacterial SSU rRNA". It matches the Rfam family "Bacterial small subunit ribosomal RNA", at positions 28 to 516 of the family's 1533-position model. The record is from RNAcentral.